Molecule: long non-coding RNA, 1119 nt
Filed under: Capra hircus (goat)
Lineage: Eukaryota; Metazoa; Chordata; Mammalia; Artiodactyla; Bovidae
Description: lncRNA (ENSCHIG00010032272.1)
Source: RNAcentral
GCCCCUCCCCCCACCCACUGUUGCUUGCACCCUCNNNNNNNNNNNNNNNNNNNUCUCCUCUUUGCCAGGCUUCCCCACUCCCUCGCCCCGUCGUUUCCCAGCUCCUUGUCCAUCUCCACUGUCAAUUCUUUGAUGCAGCUUCUUGCACGCCCGCUCUUGCACACGCAUUCUCCCCAGCACGUCCCCUGCUCUCUUGAAGCCGUCUUUUCGUCCUUAACUAGGCUCUUGCACCCCGCAGCCCUGCCUUGCACGCUCAUGCUUGAAUUUCUGGUUGUUCUUGGGUAACUUUUACCAUCUCUUGGAGAACUCUGCAGCCUCUUUCCUUUUGCACACUCAUCCCAUUCCACACGCUCUUGAGCCUGUAUUAUUGUUUCUUUUCCUGGCAGUUUUUUUUUCCUGCCCCCAAAGAUCAGAUCAUUUGCACUCUGCCUGUUCUCUUAGCUCUGGACACUUUUUCUGUCAAGAGAAGACCCUGUGCACUCUCAGUUCCUGCCCACUUUGCUUCCUCGCUUCCUCCUCUCCCCGCCCCAGUCUGCCAUCUCAGCUCCUCCCUCCUCUGACUUCCCGUCCAUCCAUUUUGCACGACGACACCGCCUCCCCCCCAUCUCCUAAAACUUUCCGUCUCUCCCAGAAACUCCUCCCUCCAGCAUGGCUGUCCCUUCCUGCACGCUUCCCUGUCCCUCUAUUCCUAGGGCUUGGAAAUUCUAAGCCACCCCCUUCCCCUGGAAAGCCCCCUCGCCUACUGUGGGCAAAAGGGGGAGGGCAUCGCCCCUGAUCCCCACCAUGUUCAGCUGCCAAAGAAGGGAGCUCCCCCUCCUUCCCCCAAGCCCAUUCCCCCUCUGCUGCCCCCUACCCCCGAGUGGGGGGGGGGGCGCUCCGUCCUUGGGGGGAGGGUGCUUGCAACCCUCCCUCCUUACCACGUCAGGGAUCUGCGGGGAACCUUGUGGGAGGGUCGUGGGAGGGGGGAGGGGUGGCGAGGAGAGGGGCGGAGGUCGCGCUGGGCCCCUACCCGCCCCCUCCCCCUUGUCGGAUGCCCCCCGUCCGCAGGGGGCCUGCGCGGCGCUCGUCUAUCAAGGGCUUGUUCAUUCUGGAUGGGUGCCGCGGGGUUGGGGAGGGUGU